Long non-coding RNA from Passer domesticus (house sparrow), 660 nucleotides. RefSeq lists it as uncharacterized. The record is from RefSeq and is a predicted model, not a curated record. The transcript has 3 exons. Lineage: Eukaryota; Metazoa; Chordata; Aves; Passeriformes; Passeridae.
CUGGAACAUCCAGCACCCAGGAAAGGGCACAACACAAACGUUGUUCAUUGUGUUCGCAUGCUCUUCACCCUGCUCCUGCCCACUCUGCUUUUCACCUGCCCCCUGAUAACCCAUUCAGUCCUGAAAGGUCCUUAGUGCCUGGAUUUUGUCAUCCAGCCCUGCAGGAUGCUCCCAUUUGUCCUGAGGAAGGCUGUCCCAGACAGAGAGGAGGAGAUGGAGGUGGAUACAAAGAUUGACAUGGAGGAUGAGAUGGAAAUAGACGGAGAAGACCCUGGAGAGGAAGAGAUGGAUGUGGAUGUGGAUGUGGAUGUGGAUGUGGAUGAAGAAGAAGAGAUGGACAUGGAUAUGGAAGAGUCCAUUGAGGACAUGGAUAUUGAUUAAGAAGGUGCAAUGGACAUCACCGACAGAGACACCACCCUUUUGUAUAUAUGUUCUACACUUAGUUGUUGUUCUUUAGAAUGUAGAUUGUCAGGCUAUUUUUGACUUCUGUAAAUAUGUUUCACAUAGUUUUGCCCAGUAGGUUUUUAUAUAUAUACGUUCUAUCGAUUGUUGUUGUUACAAAUAUUCUUGCAAUGUAAAUAUCUUCUGUAUUUUUGCUGCUGUUCUUCUGUAAUAAACAAAUUUUAUUUUUCACACCCCAUUUCUCCUCGCAUUUGCUUC